UCUUAACUGAUUGUACAAAUGGGAGAGUUAGGCUACAUCAGUAUGGCAAAACAAUGAAAAUAAGUUCAAAUAUCUUUUUGUCCAAUUGCAAUUGGGAUUUAAAAGAAAUGUUGUUCAAGUGUUAAUAAACAGCCAAAAAAAACAUAUAUAUUCAACUUGAAAUUUUAAUGCUUCAAUGACCAACUUUUUUGUAAUCUGCCACAAACCAGGCCAGUGACAAACCUUUUUUAUUUUCUUUUUUCUUGAUACAACGACUGAUACUAUUGUCUUUCUAUUCCUUUGAUUUGUUAUGUACUGUAGUAAAGUGUGUUUAACAUACUUCGGCAUGAAACAAUGUAUUGUCCAAAUUUGGAGGGUAAUGGGGUUUUGAUUGAAUAUAUUGAGAUCCAAGGGAUUAUGUAACAUUGGAUAAAGGCAAGAGUACAAAUGAAGAGGCCAAUUGCAAUACAACAUUUAGAAUUGUAUAUAUAAUUGAAGAAUAUAAUUUUUGAUCAAACACACAACAACGAAAAAAAAAAAAAAAAAAAAAAAAAAAAACACUCCAAGCUAAAAUGUGUGUUGUAUAUUAUCUAAUACUUACAGAAAUUGAACAGAAAUAGGAGUAAAAUGUAUGUAUAUAUAUAUAUAUAUAUAUAGAUGUGUGUGUGUGUAUGUAUGCAUUUUUCUUCAAAAAUUUCAUGAAUAUUGUGAUACUUACUUAUUAAUUUAAUUCUUAUGUUUUUUGUGUCUUAAAACUUAUGUAUUUUAUUAUAUGACAUAUUAGAAUGGGAUGCAGAUUAAAAGCAAUUUAUUCCAAAAACAUGAACAUGAAAACAUUAAUUAAGAUAAUGUAAGUGGUUCAUGAAGACUUGUAUCACUGUAUGUGUUGCAUAUGUAUGUUUACAAACAUGUAUACAUAACUUGUAUGGAAAUUUACUUUAUUAUUAUUUAUUAUUUAUUUUCAUUUAUUACAAAACUUAGCAAUUUUUACAUAUUACCAACGUUACACAUGUCAUGUUAGUCCAAAAUUAAAUACAUAGUUAUGUGUUUCAUCUAAUAAAUCGUGUUGAUUAAGUCAAUCAACAUUUUUUGUGGGUUGUUUAAGGCUAUUUACAAGAUAGAACCAUGUCAAAAACAUGGUCUUGUUGCAUUUACUUACAACUGUUUUAACCUUACCAUUUCUUAUUUGUGAUAGAAUAACAAUUGACAAUUGUACAUUCUUAUACUGUAUUCCUGAAUUUGAUUUUUGUUUAAGGUAUUAAGAAGGAGAAAGGAUUAAAAUAGAACGGAAUAACAGGCAAAACUUGAUGUUCCAUUUUGUUGUUUUUACUAUGAGCUUGAAGAUUUUUGAUACUUUCAAUUAAUACAAGUAUAGGUAAUUUCACAUUUUAUCUCAUUUUUUAUUUGCUUUGUGGCUAUAAAAUGUAAGUUUAUGACCUCCACAUACCAACUUACCGAAAUUUUAAAUGUCUUCGAUUACUAAUCAACGAUUUUUCUCUUCUACCUCCUCUAGUUUUUCAAAUGAAAUUUUCAUACUAAUAAUUAAUCCACCUAUAACUUAAAUUUCAUGUUUUUCAAGUUUUACAGCGUAUUUUUGUGCAUUAUAUAUAUAUAUAUAUAUAUAUAUAUAUAUAAACCUUUUACAGAAAUAUCUUAAAAUUUUAAAAAAUUAUCCACAUAUUUAACUUUCGUGUAUGCUUAUAUUCAUGAUUUUUAUGUUGAAAAAAUUGUUUUCUUGUUGGUUUGAAUCUUGUUAACUUUCAGUAAUACAUUAUAUUUUGUUGACAUGUCUAUAUUAUUACUGAAAUUAUAUCAUAUUAAGUGACUUUUCUACCUGAAUUAUUCCACAAUAAACACAUUUAUGAAUCGAAUACAAACACUUACAAUUGACUUUUUUUUAUUGAUUGUAUCUUUUGUAUGCUUCUAAAGAAGGUAGUUUUAAAGUUUAUACUAAUGUAUUAGUUGAGCAACUUGAAUUGUGUUCCAGAAGAUAAUAGUCUUUGCAAUAAUUUCUUUGAUGUGAAGGUCAAUUUCUCUCUAAAAUAUUAUCAAAGAAAAUAAUGUGAUAUCAAAAAUAUAAUAGAGAAUUACUAGUAUUACUUUUACAAACAGUAUUAAUUUUAUAAGUAAGACUUUAGUUUUUUUAGAGAAUAUACGUAUAUUUUUAUGUUUAUUAUUAUUUUGGUAUAAAUAUAUUUUUAAAAAAAUAAAAAAUAUUUAUUGGUAUUUUUUUGUAAAAUUUACCUCUAUUUGUAAUUGUUUAAAACUUUAUCUUAAAUUUGAUGCGUGAAGAAACUUAUUUUAGUUGCUUUAAUCUAUUAUGGAUACCAAUGGUAUAAAGGAUAAUAUAUGAAUGUGUAUAAAUAUAUACAUACAUAUAUGCAAACUUCAGUUUUGUAUAAUUUUCUUCUGAAGUUUGAUGUAAUAGAAUGUUGCUUAUACAGAUCAUUAGAAUUUAAUUUAGGACUAUGUCCCAUUAUCUAUUAGACUGUUGUUCAAGGUUAUGUAUUUUGGUUUUAAAAAUUAAUUAUCAUUUUACUUAAAAUAUUUGUAUUAUUUUUUCACUCGUUUAGCAAAUCAUGAGUGGUUACAUGCAGUUUAACAAAUUUUUGUGAAUCUUUUUUGAAUAUAUUUAUUUCCUCUACAAAUCCUAUCAAAAGUUUUAAAUAUAUAUUUUUAAUGAAAUAUUAACGACUUUUUAAAAUUAGACAAGAUUUUAAAAUAAAUAAAUAUAUAAAUCAUUAAGUGCUCAAUUUAUGACUAAUGCCGUGCUUUAAAUUAUUCAGAUUCAAAAAUGAUUUAGACAAAUUCCCAUCUGCAAACUUUUUUAUUUUUUUCUUUUUUCUUUUCUUUUCUUUAUAUUAAUUAUUUUUCUUGAUUCAAGCUGUGAUUGGAAUUGACAACCAUAUCUCAAAUUUUCAUGCAAUUUCGUUUCAGGUGUUACACUAUUACACUCAUGACAAGAACAUUCUAUUGUGGUUUUUUUAAUUUACAAUUUUGAGCUUGUCUACCACAUCUUCACAAAGUUUUGGAACAUUGUGUAAAGUUUCUAAUAUCCAAUCUUGAAAUUCUAUCAGACAAAUAAAUAGAAAUACUUCUUAACAUGCUUGGAUACUUUAGAUGCAGUGACUUUUAGAAAAAAAUUAAUUUUGCACAUAGGGUUUAAUUAUUACAUGGACUUUAUUUUGACUAGGAGCAUUGUUUUAUCUUUUUGAUAUCCAAUCUUGUACCUAAUUAUUAAUUUUUUUUUCCUAA
Molecule: long non-coding RNA, 3234 nt
Filed under: Physcomitrium patens
Lineage: Eukaryota; Viridiplantae; Streptophyta; Bryopsida; Funariales; Funariaceae
Description: long non-coding RNA (PPAT_LNC001364)
Source: RNAcentral